Cricetulus griseus (Chinese hamster) is the source of this 97-nucleotide small nuclear RNA. NCBI's taxonomy places the organism in Eukaryota, Metazoa, Chordata, Mammalia, Rodentia, Cricetidae. The record is from Ensembl.
GUGUUCACUUUGGCAGCGCAUAUACUAAAUGAUGCAGAGAUUAGCAUGGGCCCUGCACAAGGGUGACAACGAAAUUCAUGAAGUAUUCCAUAUUUGC